CCCUGCCAUUUGUACACACCGCCCGUCGCUCCUACCGAUUGGAUGUUCCGGUGAAAUCUUGGGAUUGCGGCGAUGUAGCUAGCAAUAGCCGCGACGUUGCGAGAACUUGCUUAAACCUUAACAUCUAGAGGAAGGAGAAGUCGUAACAAG
Molecule: ribosomal RNA, 150 nt
Filed under: uncultured eukaryote
Lineage: Eukaryota
Description: partial small subunit ribosomal RNA
Rfam family: Eukaryotic small subunit ribosomal RNA
Source: RNAcentral